AUUGAACGCUGGCGGCAUGCUUUACACAUGCAAGUCGAACGGCAGCGCGGGCUUCGGCCUGGCGGCGAGUGGCGAACGGGUGAGUAAUACAUCGGAACGUGCCCAGUAGUGGGGGAUAGCUCGGCGAAAGCCGGAUUAAUACCGCAUACGACCUGAGGGUGAAAGCGGGGGAUCUUCGGACCUCGCGCUAUUGGAGCGGCCGAUGGCAGAUUAGCUAGUUGGUGGGGUAAAGGCCUACCAAGGCGACGAUCUGUAGCUGGUCUGAGAGGACGACCAGCCACACUGGGACUGAGACACGGCCCAGACUCCUACGGGAGGCAGCAGUGGGGAAUUUUGGACAAUGGGCGAAAGCCUGAUCCAGCAAUGCCGCGUGUGUGAUGAAGGCCUUCGGGUUGUAAAGCACUUUUGGCGGGAACGAAAGGGACUGUGCCAAUACCACAGUUCGAUGACGGACCCGCAGAAUAAGCACC
RNAcentral lists this ribosomal RNA (470 nucleotides) under Lautropia mirabilis. RNAcentral describes it as "bacterial SSU rRNA". It matches the Rfam family "Bacterial small subunit ribosomal RNA", at positions 29 to 494 of the family's 1533-position model. Lineage: Bacteria; Pseudomonadati; Pseudomonadota; Betaproteobacteria; Burkholderiales; Burkholderiaceae. The record is from RNAcentral.